Molecule: long non-coding RNA, 2183 nt
Organism: Apodemus sylvaticus (European woodmouse)
Lineage: Eukaryota; Metazoa; Chordata; Mammalia; Rodentia; Muridae
Exons: 7
Source: RefSeq, a predicted model, not a curated record
AGAACAAGGAAGAGGCUCUAAAGGCAGGCAGACGCUCUGGCAACCUUUGUCAAACUCUGUGGUGGUGUUGGCGUCCCAGAGCUCCGGAGUUGCUUACCCUUCCUGUGUAAGGGCAAUCGGACCCUUUCCGGUGAGGGAACCCUUCUCCAGAUGUGAUCAAGAGAAACUUACGAGGAACUGACUUGAUCUAGCUUACCUUGGGUCACCGAAAGGAUUUGGCAAGUGACAUAAUUAUACCAGCGAUCACUGAAACUGUAAAUUUGGAUGCAAUUAAGAGAGAAAACGCCACACAUUCAUAAAAAUUUAAGGGAUUCCAGAGAUCAGAGUCAGUUCAUCUGGCUUGCAUGAUGAGCCUUUUUACCUAUUUAUUAAACCACCACAAUGGCCCUAAAUUCACACUUUAAAACAGUGAACUGGAGCUAGAGCUGGAGCUUCAUGCUUAAAAUAUUUCUCUACCUUGCCAAAGGCCCUGGAUUCAUUUCCCAACCGGUGAUCUUUAUGGACCUGGAUGCAGAACUCUCAGCUCUUCCUCCUGCACCACGCCUACCUGGAUGCUGCCAUGCUUCCCGCCAUGAGGAUUGGACUGAACCUCUGAACCUGUAUUGUGAAUAAAACAGCAUUGAACAUAGUUAAACAAAUAGCUGUGGAGUAGCUGAAUCAUAUGGACCUGGAGAUGUGGCGUUGCUGUCCAGGCUGAUCUGGAUCCAGAAGCGGAGAGAUCUGAGGGCUCCAGCCAGAGGCCUCAGGACUGGAACCUAAGCUCCCUGCUGGAGCAAGCUGUGCGCUCCCAGACUGCCUCCGGGUGCACACCAGGUCUCCCGCACUUCCUGGAGACCAAGUGCUGUGGCCCAGGAUGUUCAGAUCCCGAAGCAGACACCUGAAGGCUCCUGCCGGCCCGCUGGAUUCACCUGAGCACACUGACUUCUCCCAGCCGGCCUCCCUGAAGCCAAGUUGAGCAUUUUUUUGAGAUGUUUCUCUGCCAUCCGAAAUUCUUCAGCAGACAGAAACAGAAGCAGAUACCCACAGCCAAACAUUAGAUGGAGUUUGGCGACACCUAUGGAAGAAUUGAGAAAAGGAUAGAAGGCCCAGAAGUAAAUGAGACUGCUACAGGAAGACCAACAGAGUCAACAAAUUUGCUCACCUGGAAGCUCUCAGAAUCUGAUCCCCCAACUAAAGGAAAAUACAUGCACUGGAAUGAGGCCUCCAGGUACAUAUGUAGCAGACAAGCACCUCAAUCUUCAUGGCUUCCCUGCCUGGCCUCAGUGGAAGAGGAUGUGCCUAAUCUGGCAGGGACUUGAUGUGCCAGGGUGCGAGGAAUACCUGUAGGGGGUCCCACCCUCUCAGAGGAAAAGGAGUUGGGGAAGUGGUUUAAGGAACUAUGUGAGAGAUUCAUUCUCUCUGCUCAUUCUCUUGUUUGGUUUGGAGGGGUUGUUUUGUUUUGUUUUAAGGCCCAGGCAUUAUGUCAUCAACUUUUUGAGGAGUCUUUUAUCUGCUGAAGUAGAAGUCAGAUAUCAUCUAAUUCUAAAAUGAAGGAAACAUGAAAGUUUAUUACAGAGAAUACAUCUGGCAGGCCUCCCUAUAAGUAUAGCAAACAUGAAAAAGAAACACAGUCAAUUACACCUUAAGGAUAGCAUGGGCAAAUACAGAAACCACAUUGCAGUCAGAUGUGCUUCUAAACCAUUCUCAUGUACUAGCUCAGGAACAACAUGAGCAACCAAAUGCUAUGCCUUAGUCUAUCCAAGAAUCUCUUAAUUUCUAAUAAUACAUACCAAAGUGGUAAUAUCCCUUCAGUUCUGUUCCCAUUUCUAUCUGACAACUGGGCAGGCCCAACUUAUGCAGGCCCAGUGCCAGCAGACACAAGUCGAAUUAUGAGUUCAUGAAUACCAUAGGCAAAUGCCUAGAAUAUGCAAUAUUUCAGCCAUUCUCUCAGUCUUUGACCUAUUAUAUUCUUUCUGUACCUCCUUCUAAAUUGUUCUGUGAACCUUUUAAGGGUGUUAGUAUGUCUUAUUAGAGGUCUGAGUAAUCCUAUGAUGGCCACCUGCUCACUAGUUACACAAAGAUACUGAUGUCUAUUUAGGCUAAAAAAUAUGGAAGUCUCAUCUCAAGAAGGAUGAAUUACAUAGAUCCUGUCAAACAGCAGAGGCCUGUAGGACUAUUGAAAAUCUACAGGUUUAAGUAUACAG